This 515-nucleotide ribosomal RNA is filed under the name uncultured bacterium. RNAcentral describes it as "partial 16S ribosomal RNA". It matches the Rfam family "Bacterial small subunit ribosomal RNA", at positions 28 to 523 of the family's 1533-position model. The record is from RNAcentral.
GAUGAACGCUGGCGGCGUGCCUAAUACAUGCAAGUCGAGCGAAUGGAUUAAGAGCUUGCUCUUAUGAAGUUAGCGGCGGACGGGUGAGUAACACGUGGGUAACCUGCCCAUAAGACUGGGAUAACUCCGGGAAACCGGGGCUAAUACCGGAUAACAUUUUGAACCGCAUGGUUCGAAAUUGAAAGGAGGCUUCGGUGGUCACUUAUGGAUGGACCCGCGUCGCAUUAGCUAGUUGGUGGGGUAACGGCUCACCAAGGCAACGAUGCGUAGCCGACCUGAGAGGGUGAUCGGCCACACUGGGACUGAGACACGGCCCAGACUCCUACGGGAGGCAGCAGUAGGGAAUCUUCCGCAAUGGACGAAAGUCUGACGGAGCAACGCCGCGUGAGUGAUGAAGGCUUUCGGGUCGUAAAACUCUGUUGUUAGGGAAGAACAAGUGCUAGUUGAAUAAGCUGGCACCUUGACGGUACCUAACCAGAAAGCCACGGCUAACUACGUGCCAGCCGCCGCUGUAA